Molecule: ribosomal RNA, 465 nt
Filed under: uncultured bacterium
Lineage: Bacteria
Description: partial 16S ribosomal RNA
Rfam family: Bacterial small subunit ribosomal RNA
Source: RNAcentral
GACGAACGCUGGCGGCGUGCUUAACACAUGCAAGUCGUACGGUAAGGCCCUUUCGGGGGUACACGAGUGGCGAACGGGUGAGUAACACGUGAGUAACCUGCCCACCACUUUGGGAUAACGCUAGGAAACUGGUGCUAAUACUGGAUAUGUGCUACUGCUGCAUGGUGGGGGGUGGAAAGCUCCGGCGGUUGUGGGUGGACUCGCGGCCUAUUAGCUGGUUGGUGGGGUAGUGGCCUACCAAGGCGGCGACGGGUAGCCGGCCUGAGAGGGUGACCGGCCACAUUUGGACUGAGAUACGGCCCAGACUCCUACGGGAGGCAGAAGUGGGGAAUAUUGCACAAUGGGCGCGAGCCUGAUGCAGCAACGCCGCGUGCGGGAUGACGGCCUUCGGGUUGUAAACCGCUUUCAGCAGGGACGAAGCUUUUUGUGACGGUACCUGCAGAAGAAGCACCGGCUAACUACGUG